Molecule: non-coding RNA, 30 nt
Filed under: Rattus norvegicus (Norway rat)
Lineage: Eukaryota; Metazoa; Chordata; Mammalia; Rodentia; Muridae
Source: RNAcentral
UNGCUCGUGGCUUUACUUCCCAGGGUACUA